Molecule: ribosomal RNA, 425 nt
Filed under: uncultured bacterium
Lineage: Bacteria
Description: partial 16S ribosomal RNA
Rfam family: Bacterial small subunit ribosomal RNA
Source: RNAcentral
GUGGGGGAUAUUGCACAAUGGAGGAAACUCUGAUGCAGCGACGCCGCGUGAGUGAAGAAGUAUUUCGGUAUGUAAAGCUCUAUCAGCAGGGAAGAUAAUGACAGUACCUGACUAAGAAGCCCCGGCUAACUACGUGCCAGAAGCCGCGGUAAUACGUAGGGGGCAAGCGUUAUCCGGAUUUACUGGGGGUAAAGGGAGCGUAGACGGAAUGGCAAGUCUGAAGUGAAAUCCUGCGGCUUACCUGCAGAAUUGCUGUGGAAGCUGUCAAUCUGGAGUGUUGGAGAGGUAAGCGGAAUUCCUGGUGUAGCGGUGAAAUGCGUAGAUAUCAGGAAGAACACCGGAGGCGAAGGCGGCUUACUGGACAAUAACUGACGUUGAGGCUCGAAAGCGUGGGAAGCAAACAGGAUUAGAUACCCUUGUAGUCC